GAGAAUGGAGAAAUGUUGGUGGUUGAGAACGAGAUUGGGGGAAAGAGAAUAGAGGAAAUGAUAAAUAGAAGUCCGACUGGAGUUACCUCGACUUGCCGGAGUACUGGAGUUACCUCGACGCGCCGGACUGGAGUUACCUCGACGCCGCUGAAAUGUUGGUGUAGUUGACCGAGAACGCCGUUGGUGGUUGAUGGAGAAAUGUUGGUGGUUAAGAACAAGAUUGGGGGAUAGAGAUUGGAGGAAAUGAUAUUGGGGGGAAUGAGAUUGGGGGGAAUGAAAAAAAAUGAGGGAAAUGAUAUUGGGGAAAAUGAAAUAGGGGGAAUGAAAUAGUUAAAGGGAGGGAAAUGAAAAUUAUUAAAUAAUUGCUAUUUGUAACGGAAUAUCCGUUAAAAAUAGUUAAAAAA
Molecule: long non-coding RNA, 404 nt
Filed under: Zostera marina
Lineage: Eukaryota; Viridiplantae; Streptophyta; Magnoliopsida; Alismatales; Zosteraceae
Description: long non-coding RNA (ZMAR_LNC003217)
Source: RNAcentral